This 507-nucleotide ribosomal RNA is filed under the name uncultured bacterium. RNAcentral describes it as "partial 16S ribosomal RNA". The stretch from base 20 to 329 matches the Rfam family "Bacterial small subunit ribosomal RNA", at positions 47 to 358 of the family's 1533-position model. The record is from RNAcentral.
GACGAACGCUGGCGGCGUGCUUAACACAUGCAAGUCGAACGGAAAGGCCCUGCUUUUGUGGGGUGCUCGAGUGGCGAACGGGUGAGUAACACGUGAGUAACCUGCCCUUGACUUUGGGAUAACUUCAGGAAACUGGGGCUAAUACCGGAUAGGAGCUCCUGCUGCAUGGUGGGGGUUGGAAAGUUUCGGCGGUUGGGGAUGGACUCGCGGCUUAUCAGCUUGUUGGUGGGGUAGUGGCUUACCAAGGCUUUGACGGGUAGCCGGCCUGAGAGGGUGACCGGGAGCAUGGGGACGGAGGUACGCACGAGACGCGAGGGGGGGGAGGUGGGGGGGAAGAGUGCACACGGGGGGGAGGCGGGGGGGAGGCGCGCGGGGGCGGGGUUGAGGCCCUGUGUGUUAUACCACGCUUGGGCUGGGGCGGAAGGGGUAGGGACGGUAAGGAGAAAAGACCCACCGGCUAGCUCCGUCACGGGGGCGGAGGAAAGGAGGGGAACCCCACUUCUGAUC